CCUACGGGUGGCAGCAGUGAGGAAUAUUGGUCAAUGGGCGCGAGCCUGAACCAGCCAAGUAGCGUGAAGGAUGAAGGCCCUACGGGUUGUAAACUUCUUUUAUAAAGGAAUAAAGUGAGGCACGUGUGCCUUUUUGUAUGUACCUUAUGAAUAAGGAUCGGCUAACUCCGUGCCAGCAGCCGCGGUAAUACGGAGGAGCCGAGCGUUAUCCGGAUUUAUUGGGUUUAAAGGGGGCGUUGAUGGGUUGUUAAGUCCGUUGUGAAAGUUUGCGGCUCAACCGUAAAAUUGCCGUUGAUACUGGCAGCCUUGAGUACAGUUGAGGUAGGCGGAAUUCGUGGUGUAGCGGU
RNAcentral lists this ribosomal RNA (347 nucleotides) under uncultured bacterium. RNAcentral describes it as "partial 16S ribosomal RNA". It matches the Rfam family "Bacterial small subunit ribosomal RNA", at positions 338 to 682 of the family's 1533-position model. The record is from RNAcentral.